GCCCUUGUAGCUCAGUCGGUAGAGCAUGAGGCUUUUAUGCGUAACCGUGUGAAGCAAAACCUCAGGGUCCAGAGUUCGAGCCUCUGCAAGGGCG
Coccidioides posadasii str. Silveira is the source of this 94-nucleotide transfer RNA. It matches the Rfam family "tRNA". From Rfam's summary of the family: Transfer RNA (tRNA) molecules are approximately 80 nucleotides in length. The record is from Rfam. Lineage: Eukaryota; Fungi; Ascomycota; Eurotiomycetes; Onygenales; Onygenaceae.